Molecule: long non-coding RNA, 808 nt
Organism: Malaya genurostris
Lineage: Eukaryota; Metazoa; Arthropoda; Insecta; Diptera; Culicidae
Exons: 4
Source: RefSeq, a predicted model, not a curated record
UGAUAAUGCCAAAGCUUUACUUAUCAUUUGCACUAGUUGCGAUCAUUUGUGCUUUCUGUAAUGUUAAGGCAGUGAAGUUUUAUCAAGUGGACACACAUAAGACAUGUGAUGGUUUCACAAACGGUGCAGUCAAAUUCAGCAACUCUCGUUUAGUUGGCAAAAAACAAGCGAUUGUAAUCUCAGUUACGAUGGAUGUGUUGAGGAAUGUGAAACCACCGAUUGCGUUUACUUUAUCAAUAAAUCGUUGUGAUAUUGAUCAAACCAAUUGCAAACACUUUGACACCAUUUCUUUCGAAGAUAUCUGUCCAAUGUAUAAUGAAAAUCAACUCGUCAAAGCGCAUAUAGGAUUUUUCUCUCCACCGCUAACAUGUCCAUUACAAAUUGGGAAAUACACAACUACCGAAGGACUGCUUGACAUGCGUGUGUUUGAUGGAUUCUCAAUCGGUAAUGCACAUUGGCAAACGGAACUGAAACUGACUGAUGGAACGAACGAAACUGUGCUUUGCAUUUGGUCAGAGGUUACGAUAAAUGAAAAAAGAAAUGUGAACGGUAACGCUAGGAACCGUCUUCAUAGUUAGUACUUACCCUGCACAAUGAGAGCCCCAAGUGCCGCGGCUUCUCCAAUCGAACAGUACAACCGUCCGUGUCGUAGAUCCCGUUUCAAUUGCUGAAAUAGCAUCACUUUGCCAUUACCCGUCAGUCGACAGGGAUCGGCAGGAUAAAAUUUGACUCGGAACGAUAGUAUGAGGGGUUCCACAUCUGCAAAUGUAUCCAUUAUUUAGCACCAAUAAAAAUUUUGAGCAGAAAC